ACUAAAUAGAUACCCGGGUAGUCCACGCUGUAAACGAUGAUUACUCGAUGUUGGCGAUACACAGUCAGCGUCUGAGCGAAAGCAAUAAGUAAUCCACCUGGGGAGUACGAUCGCAAGAUUGAAACUCAAAGGAAUUGACGGGGGCCCGCACAAGCGGAGGAGCAUGUGGUUUAAUUCGAUGAUACGCGAGGAACCUUACCUGGGCUCGAACGUAAGAUGACUGUAGGUGAAAGCUUACAUCUCUUCGGAGCAUUUUACGAGGUGCUGCAUGGUUGUCGUCAGCUCGUGCCGUGAGGUGUCGGGUUAAGUCCCAUAACGAGCGCAACCCCUACCUUUAGUUGCCAACAGGUCAUGCUGGGGACUCUAAAGGAACUGCCUACGCAAGUAGUGAGGAAGGCGGGGAUGACGUCAAAUCAGCACGGCCCUUACGUCCAGGGCUACACACGUGCUACAAUGGCCGAUACAGAGGGCAGCUACCUGGUGACAGGAUGCAAAUCUCCAAAGUCGGUCUCAGUUCGGAUC
Molecule: ribosomal RNA, 522 nt
Filed under: uncultured bacterium
Lineage: Bacteria
Description: bacterial SSU rRNA
Rfam family: Bacterial small subunit ribosomal RNA
Source: RNAcentral